GAGUUUGAUCCUGGCUCAGAACGAACGCUGGCGGCAGGCUUAACACAUGCAAGUCGAACGAUAAGCUCUCUUCGGAGAGUGGACAGUGGCAGACGGGUGAGUAACGCGUAGCAACCUACCUAGUAGUACGGAAUAACGCUUAGAAAUGAGUGCUAAUACCGUAUACGCCCUUUUGGGGAAAGAUUCAUCGCUAUUAGAUGGGGCUGCGUUAGAUUAGCUAGUUGGUGAGGUAAGAGCUCACCAAGGCGACGAUCUAUAGCGGGUCUGAGAGGAUGAUCCGCCACACUGGGACUGAGACACGGCCCAGACUCCUACGGGAGGCAGCAGUGGGGAAUCUUGGACAAUGGGGGAAACCCUGAUCCAGCCAUGCCGCGUGAAUGAUGAAGGCCUUAGGGUUGUAAAAUUCUUUCGAUGGUGAAGAUAAUGACGGUAACCAUUAAAGAAGCCCCGGCUAACUCCGUGCCAGCAGCCGCGGUAAUAAGGGCGA
RNAcentral lists this ribosomal RNA (487 nucleotides) under uncultured Alphaproteobacteria bacterium. RNAcentral's name for it is "bacterial SSU rRNA". It matches the Rfam family "Bacterial small subunit ribosomal RNA", at positions 9 to 532 of the family's 1533-position model. The record is from RNAcentral. Lineage: Bacteria; Pseudomonadati; Pseudomonadota; Alphaproteobacteria.